CCUGGACUUAGAGCCUAUACUGUAGACAGGAACGGCAAGUAUGAGCCCCUUCAUGUAGACUCCAACGAUUUCCUCACAGGACAUUUACAAGAGAAUGAAUCUAUGCAUGUGUAUGCUCAUUAUGAGGAGGACGUUCUCUGCACAACAGUUUAUUUCCCAAAUGAAAUUUACUUUACUGAGCCGUCGUGGAGACACCUCCCUUCAUCAAGUGGGUGGGAUCUGAU
Pomacea canaliculata is the source of this 224-nucleotide long non-coding RNA. RefSeq lists it as uncharacterized. The record is from RefSeq and is a predicted model, not a curated record. The transcript is spliced from 3 exons. NCBI's taxonomy places the organism in Eukaryota, Metazoa, Mollusca, Gastropoda, Architaenioglossa, Ampullariidae.